Manduca sexta (tobacco hornworm) is the source of this 365-nucleotide long non-coding RNA. RefSeq lists it as uncharacterized. NCBI's taxonomy places the organism in Eukaryota, Metazoa, Arthropoda, Insecta, Lepidoptera, Sphingidae. The record is from RefSeq and is a predicted model, not a curated record. The transcript is spliced from 2 exons.
UUACAGUCAGUGAAGUGAACGAUGAGUCCGUUGUAAAAAAAGAGUUCACGAAUUCGCUCCCGUAACAGAAUUUAGGUAUUUUGAAACUGCAAUGACUAUUUGCAGCCCUUUAAUUGCGUCAGACACACAAUUAGAUACAAAACAAUGAUAAUAGCUGUGAACAAGAACUUCGCUGAUGAACGAAGAACUUUUAUUGGGACACCCCGACACGCAUCUUCGCGUUAUUGCUUCCGCAUGAUAAGACGGCGCGGCGUGAUUCGUAUUGCAUCUAUUUUUUUUGUAAUGUUUGUUACCUCAAAACUCAGUAAUUUAUUAAACGAUUUGGAUUUUUUUUUCUUAUUUGAAUAAUAUACUUCUAAAUUGGU